UUUUAGCCCGGCUUUCCACUAUAUCUUUUUCUUUUUUUUGCCAAAAAAGAAAAAGAUAUAGUGGAAAGCCGGACUGAUC
RNAcentral lists this small RNA (79 nucleotides) under Halpernia frigidisoli. RNAcentral describes it as "Flavo-1 RNA". It matches the Rfam family "Flavo-1 RNA". Lineage: Bacteria; Pseudomonadati; Bacteroidota; Flavobacteriia; Flavobacteriales; Weeksellaceae. The record is from Rfam by way of RNAcentral.